UAGUCGUGACUGAGAGGUCGAUCGACCACAUUGGGUCUGAAAAAACCCCAAUGCGUAUUAGUACAGCAGUGAGGAAUAUUGGUCAAUGGCCGAAAGGCUGAACCAGUAACUUGGAAGAAUGAAAGUGUAUUAUAAUAAUACAAUAACGAUUAACUCGUAUAAAAUUCUAAAUAGGAUAAUGAUAAUGACAAUUUCCUAUUUAUAAGUCUUGACCAAAUUACGUGCCAGCAGUCGCGGUAAUACGUAGAAGACUAGUGUUAGUCAUCUUUAUUAGGUUUAAAGGGUACCUAGACGGUAAAUUAAACUCUAAACGAGUACUUUUUUACUAGAGUUUUAUGUGAGAAGGAAGAAUUUCUGGAGUAGGGAUGAAAUACUAUACCAGAAGGACUGGUAACGGCGAAGGCAUCCUUCUAUGUAAAAACUGACGUUGAGGGACGAAGGCUUGGGUAGCAAUAAGGAUUAGAUACCCUAGUAGUCCAAGCAGAAAAUGAUGAAUGUCAUAGGCUAGAUUAUAUAUUUAGUCUAUAAAUGAAAGUGUAAGCAUUCCACCUCAAGAGUAAUA
Molecule: ribosomal RNA, 562 nt
Filed under: Aspergillus terreus
Lineage: Eukaryota; Fungi; Ascomycota; Eurotiomycetes; Eurotiales; Aspergillaceae
Rfam family: Bacterial small subunit ribosomal RNA
Source: RNAcentral